AUUGAGGUGAAGUUCAUGGGUGUUGAUACGAGCACAAUUAUGUUCACCCUGGAAAAAGGCGAAAACAUGGUUGAGCGUUAUCUGCAUCACUGCGGAACUCCCAUUUCCAUGAAGAUGCUGAAAUUAUACGCUUUCGGCCUAUAAUUUGCUGAAUCUUUUGUUUCUGAUCUCAUAUCCAAGCAGUGAAAUAUUCAUUACAUUCUUGUUCAGUCUUUUAAGUUUGGUAUGCAAU
This 232-nucleotide unclassified non-coding RNA is filed under the name Hevea brasiliensis (rubber tree). Lineage: Eukaryota; Viridiplantae; Streptophyta; Magnoliopsida; Malpighiales; Euphorbiaceae. The record is from RNAcentral.